AAAAAAGGUAAGCUACUAAGAGCGAAUGGUGGAUGCCUUGACUGGUAAAGGCGAUGAAGGACGUACUAGACUGCGAUAAGCUACGGGGAGCUGUCAAGAAGCUUUGAUCCGUAGAUUUCCGAAUGGGGCAACCCAAUGUAUAGAGAUAUACAUUACCUAUAUAGGAGCGAACGAGGGGAAUUGAAACAUCUUAGUACCCUCAGGAAAAGAAAUCAAUAGAGAUUGCGUCAGUAGCGGCGAGCGAAAGCGCAAGAGGGCAAACCCAGUGCUUGCACUGGGGGUUGUAGGACUGCAAUGUGCAAGAGGUAAGUUUAGCAGAACAUUCUGGAAAGUAUAACCAUAGAGGGUGAUAGUCCCGUAUGCGAAAAACAAACCUUAGCUAGCAGUAUCCUGAGUAGGGCGGGACACGAGGAAUCCUGUCUGAAUCCGGGUCGACCACGAUCCAACCCUAAAUACUAAUACCAGAUCGAUAGUGCACAAGUACCGUGAGGGAAAGGUGAAAAGAACUGAGGUGAUCAGAGUGAAAUAGAACCUGAAACCAUUUGCUUACAAUCAUUCAGAGCCCUAUGUAGCAAUACAGGGUGAUGGACUGCCUUUUGCAUAAUGAGCCUGCGAGUUGUGGUGUCUGGCAAGGUUAAGCAAACGCGAAGCCGUAGCGAAAGCGAGUCUGAAUAGGGCGCUUAGUCAGAUGCUGCAGACCCGAAACGAAGUGAUCUAUCCAUGAGCAAGUUGAAGCUAGUGUAAGAACUAGUGGAGGACUGAACCCAUAGGCGUUGAAAAGCCCCGGGAUGACUUGUGGAUAGGGGUGAAAGGCCAAUCAAACUUCGUGAUAGCUGGUUCUCUCCGAAAUAUAUUUAGGUAUAGCGUUGUGUCGUAAUAUAAGGGGGUAGAGCACUGAAUGGGCUAGGGCAUACACCAAUGUACCAAACCCUAUCAAACUCCGAAUACCUUAUAUGUAAUCACAGCAGUCAGGCGGCGAGUGAUAAAAUCCGUCGUCAAGAGGGAAACAACCCAGACUACCAGCUAAGGUCCCUAAAUCUUACUUAAGUGGAAAACGAUGUGAAGUUACUUAAACAACCAGGAGGUUGGCUUAGAAGCAGCCAUCCUUUAAAGAAAGCGUAAUAGCUCACUGGUCUAGUGAUUUUGCGCGGAAAAUAUAACGGGGCUAAAGUAAGUACCGAAGCUGUAGACUUGCACACAACUUAGAUUAUUUAAGUUUAGAAUAUGAGAAACUAAGUUAUAUGUUUAGUUAUAUUUUUACUGAUUUUUAUAGAGUAAAGAUAGAAAUAAAACUUAGUAAAAUCAGUAAAAAUAUUCUUAGACUAAAGUUAAGUAGUUUAAGUUGUGUGCAAGUGGUAGGAGAGCGUUCUAUUUGCGUCGAAGGUAUACCGGUAAGGAGUGCUGGAGCGAAUAGAAGUGAGCAUGCAGGCAUGAGUAGCGAUAAUUAAUGUGAGAAUCAUUAACGCCGUAAACCCAAGGUUUCCUACGCGAUGCUCGUCAUCGUAGGGUUAGUCGGGUCCUAAGUCGAGUCCGAAAGGGGUAGACGAUGGCAAAUUGGUUAAUAUUCCAAUACCAACAUUAGUGUGCGAUGGAAGGACGCUUAGGGCUAAGGGGGCUAGCGGAUGGAAGUGCUAGUCUAAGGUCGUAGGAGGUUAUACAGGCAAAUCCGUAUAACAAUACUCCGAGAACUGAAAGGCUUUUUGAAGUCUUCGGAUGGAUAGAAGAACCCCUGAUGCCGUCGAGCCAAGAAAAGUUUCUAAGUUUAGCUAAUGUUGCCCGUACCGUAAACCGACACAGGUGGGUGGGAUGAGUAUUCUAAGGCGCGUGGAAGAACUCUC
RNAcentral lists this ribosomal RNA (1838 nucleotides) under Campylobacter jejuni. RNAcentral's name for it is "partial 23S ribosomal RNA". It matches the Rfam family "Bacterial large subunit ribosomal RNA", at positions 1 to 1703 of the family's 2925-position model. The record is from RNAcentral. Lineage: Bacteria; Pseudomonadati; Campylobacterota; Epsilonproteobacteria; Campylobacterales; Campylobacteraceae.